Homo sapiens (human) is the source of this 6749-nucleotide long non-coding RNA. RefSeq lists it as uncharacterized. NCBI's taxonomy places the organism in Eukaryota, Metazoa, Chordata, Mammalia, Primates, Hominidae. The record is from RefSeq and is a predicted model, not a curated record. The transcript has 2 exons.
UGCCAGGCUUCCAAGACAGAGGAGAGCUGGGUUUAUGUCCCAGUUCUGCCAUUCUUAACUGUAUAAUUUGGGCAUGUUACUUAACCUCUUAGAUAACCACUUUACCAUAGAUGGCCAUUCUCUUAUUUAGGAAAUUCAGAUAGUAAUGGCACUAACGCAAAAGGGUGCUGCGGAGAUACGACAAUGGGAUGACACAUGUAAAGUACCCAACACAGGGCCAUCAGAGAUUUCAAUGCACUGUCAAUCUACAAGAAGGGUAUAUGAUAUGCAGUUGUUUCACAAACACUGUAACAAAUGAUUUUGAAGAGGACAUCUUAGGAUACUCUGAGUUACUCCAACUUGGACAUUUCACAGGUAGGAGAACUAUUGAAUGGUUCUGCAAGGUAAAGACACUUAUUCAAGAAUAUUUCAAUAACUGUACUUAGUACAAAGCCAGGACUGAAUUUAGGUAGUCUGGUUCCCAGUCCAGAAGAGUGUACCUGUUUUCUGUAUGCCAUAUUGCAGGCCCCUACUUGCCAAUGAGAGAGUUUCUGCAAUAGCAACAUCAUCCCUUCUGUUUCAUGAAGUCCUACUGGUUGGAUUAAUAAAUAAUGGCAUUUUCAGGGCAGUGGGUUGCACCCACUAAGAUAUUUUUGAUUUCUAGUACAAAAUGACUUUCCUAGAAAUAUAAUUUCCCAGAAGAAGGGUACACAAGAAAUGUGUGGCUUAAAAUUCACCUUUUAGUCAUUGUAUAAAAGUUGAAGGAUAACUGCUCAGUUAUUACACGGGAGCAGCUGGUGGAAAAACCACAGGCCCAGUGAUGAUGAUAGAUACUGGACAUAGAGGAAUGAGAUCCAUUUUCCUAAUAGGUCAGCAACUUUAUGUUCUAUCUGUGGGUGCCUGUCCUGAAGCCUGUGCUCCCACUGAAUUCCCGAAUUCUGCCCAUCUAAUCCCAAUCACAUUUUCACACUGGACCGACUAAGUCUUUUCCAGCAAUUUCAUUCCUUUUCCCCUGCCCUCUGCAUUCCUUUGUGAUCUCAUUUGGUCUAAAUAUCAUGUGAUGGAAUUGGAAGAGCCAAGUAGGCUAGACUUAAAUUCUGGCUCUGCCUACACUUGACCACCUAGAAAACCUCAUAGAGUUCCUGUAAAGAUUUAAAUACACCUACCACACAUUUAUAUAUAGUAUUUAACAUAGUGUCUAGCACAAAAGUGUUAAAGAAAUAAUUCUCUUUCUCUCUAAUUGUUGUUUAUAUAGUAGACCAAUUUGCCCAAUUAGAUAAAAGCUAAGGGCAGAGGGCAUGGUGUGUGUGUGUGUGUGUGUGUGUGUGUGUGUGUGUGUGUGUAUCCUCACAAUGCUAGAAACAUUCUUUCAUUCAAAAACAAUCUGUUAAAUGCCUCACAGUAGCAGAACAUCUCACAGUAGGUGUUUGCAAUUUAUUUUAUGAUAAAGCUUAUAUGAGAGUAAAUAAAAUACUGUAUGCAAAUUUCUGAAAACAGUGCCUAAACAACUAGUAAGUGCUAUUAUGAUCACUAGAAAGUACACAAAUUUAUUUUAGUGCUGUGAUAAUACUUGGGAUGAGCUAUUUAUCCCAUCUUGACUCCGUCUCAUGGGGUAAUGAUUUUUGCACAGGAACGGUUAAUCCAGUUGAAAAUCAUCACCUCCUAGAAAUGGAAACAGAGACAUAAACAGGAAGGAGCCAUCUAAUUCUUAAGUUUCGGGUGACUCGUUGAAAGCCUGGAGUAAUCAGGGAUGACAAAGCUCAGCAUUCUCAACCUCAGAAGGGUGGCACAAGAAUGAGUCAUAUCUAAGCAGAUCCCAAGCUAUAAUAUUUUCUUGACUUAGCCAAGUCAUGUUUUCUUUGCAAAGGCUUCAUGGACUUAAAACUAAACUGUUUAUAAAAGCCCCUUUUUAGUCUAUGUUUAAGGCUACUGUUUUACAGAAAUAGCAAUAGAAUAAAAAAGUUGGAGAAAGAAUUGGAAGAUUGGGAACCUGGUUUUGCCUCUACCAUGUACUCAUGGGAAGAUGUUGGCCUUUCUCUAUCUUCGUUUUCCCAACUAUAAAAUGUUAUUUUAUCCAAAGAACAUUAAGUAUUUUAUAUGUGCUAAGUAUUUACUGUUUUAGGUGGUGGGGUGCUGGACAUAAAAAAGGUAAGUAAGGCAGAGUCUAGUAGGAAAGAAAAUUAAUUUGAUAAUUGUAAUUCAGCAACUAGUGCUAAAGGCGUAGAUUGCAACAGAGGACUUAAUCCCAAGAAGAAAGAGUUCAGGGGAAACCUCCUUCAGGACCUGGAGCACAGUCUGUCUGGGUAGGCUGUCAUAAGUAUAGUGAAGAUGGCAGCUGCAUGCAGAGUGAGUUGCAUUACAAGGUAUAGAGACCUGAGACCACCUUGACAAAUGUAGAAACUGCAAGGAAUUCAGUCCAGCUAGAUAUGGCUAGAUAAGGAUCAUACAAAGCAAUAGAUUUGAGAAUGUCAAAAACUGAAGAAUUGAAGAGAAGCAGUAAAAGCUAGAUUAGAGAGUAUUUUGUGUAUCCUGCUACAGGAAAUGAGGGACUCUUUCUCUCCAUAUGCAUAUAUAUGUAAAUAAGGCGUAUGAUCUUAUAUAUGUAAAUAAGGUGUCUGUAAGGACACAGACAGGUAAGCAUUUUCAAGGAUCAUUCUGACUGCAGUAUGAUUGGCUUGGCAGGUGGCAGAGAACAAAAGCAAGAAAAACUAUUAGGAUGCUGUUGCAAGAGGACGCAAGUAAUGAUGAGUGUCCGAGCUAAGGUAGUAGCCAUGGGGAUGAGUAUUUGAGAGCUUUUAAGGAGGCAGAGUCAACAGAGUUAAGUGAAUUAUUGAAUGAGGAUAGGAAGAGAAAGGGAAGUAUCAGGGAUGAUGUUGAGGAUUUGGGCUAAGGUAAUGGAUGGAAAGUGUUGUCAUCCCUCCAGACAAAGUGAUAUAGAAACUUGGCUGGGAGAAAUUUGCAAAGGGUGAGCAUGAGGUACCUAGGGGCAUACAAAUUAAGAAGUCCAGUAACAGUGGGAUGGAUAUCAGGAGCUCAGGAGAGAGAUUUGGGCUGCAACUACCAAAUUAGGUCGAAAUUAAAGCUAAUGGAAAUCAUUCAGUGAACUGAGAUUGCCCUUAGAGAUUAAAGUAAGGAAAAAAGCUGAAGGUAAAACCCAAGAGAAUAACAACAUUUUAGAGGAAGAGGGAAGAGUCAUCCAAAGAACUAUGGAUGAGAGUGGGCAGACACAUGAAGACAACCAGAGGAAAAUGUCACAGAAUGCAGGGGAGGAGGAAGAUUCAUAAUGUGAUAAUGGUCAGUGGUGACAGAUGAUACAGGAGUCCAAGAAGCUUGAAAAAUGUCCAAUAGAUAAUUCUAUCUCUCAUCCCCUCCCAGGUUGUCAUGAGUUCAGAAAAGAUCAUGGAAGGAAAAGGCUUUGUAAAAUCGCAUUCACAUCUGUGAUUCAUUAUUAUUUCUUGUCUGUUGACCUAUCCACAGUGCUGCGCUAUCAGAGGACUUAAGAUGUUUAAGCCGAAGCCCUACUUCCAUAAUCAUUUACUUUCCUGUUUCUUCGAUUUAUUAAUGAGAAAUCAAAUCAGAAAGAGUUAAAUUACUUAUCACUGUCUCAAAGGAAUAAUGUUGGUUUUCACAACAUCCCAGUUUCAGGUAUACCAUCAGAGUCAUUCAGAGAUCUGAAGUACAGAUUUUUCCUUCUUUGGGUGGUAGUAUUCCUGAAAUAUCAUUAAUAAAUUCAUUUAAAAAAUCUGUUUUAAGUACAGAAAAGUAGGUUGCUAUUGAAAGCUUUAUGCUGUUUUUUUUAAUUCUGAAUUUGAUUCGUUUAACAAUGAAAUACAUCUAAAUUCUUAAGACAGUCUCUGAAGGCCAUUAUAAAUCACAGUGCUAUUUCUUUCUGACAAUUAUGUCAGUAAGCUCAUGUCAGGAGGCAUAUGACAGGCAGAAUGGCACAGAAAAAUGGAAACAGUACAGAUCAAGUAUCAGAAUAAAAAUCUUAAUAAUAGCAGCCAUCUUAUUGAAUUUUUUGCUAUAUGUCAAGUCCUUUACAUAUAUUAUAUCCUUUUUUCUCUUCAACAUUUUAAUCCUCAUUUUACAGAUGAGGAAAUUGCAGAUCAGAGUGGUGAAGAGACUUUAGGUUAUACAAAAGCCUCUGGCUAAGAAGCUGAUCUGGGAUGCAAACCCAGGACUGUUAUGUAAUGAUUGUUCCAGGAUAUGAUGCCAAUGUAGGAGGCAGAGAGAGUCAAACCCAGGGAUAGUUUCUCUUAUCCUUGUAAGUCAGGCAGUGAAGAGGAGAGAAAGGGGAUUUUGAGUUAAUAGAGGACAUGUCACACAACAAAGAUGAAAACACUGCCUAGACAGGGGGCUGGUUAACAAAGCAGGGUAUUAGGAAGAUCUCUGCCAUGGCAGGGGCCAUGUGGAGAGACUCAGCAAGCCAGUCAGAAAAAUUCAUCCCAUCUGAAAAAUUCUUCAAGCUGCAGCAGAACUGGGACAUCCGUUUAAACAGGACAGCUCCAUGGGACUAGCUUCAUGAGGACAUGUUGAAUGAGAGUCAGACUUUCCAUCACACUCCCCCAUGAAAAGAGAGAAUGAGCUAAGCUUAUCUGCCUUGUCUGUAAAAAAGAAGUUAAACCUAUGGCUGGUCACUUCAUGCACUUAGCAGUGUCUGGGACAUGGUAUCUACUUCAUAUCCAGUUGUUACUAUUAUUCUAAAUAUCUAUCACUAUCAAGCACACUAGUUAUGGGUCCCAUCAGUCUAGCACCUUAAACAUGUACCCCCUCAAACUCAUAUGCCGAUUACAAGAGUCUACUGGGGGGCAUCAAAACUCUGCAACCAAAGUUCACAGGUAAAACUCUGAGACCUGUGAUGUGUAUUAACGUACAGAAUAUUAUUAACGUACAGAAUAGAGAUGAAAAUUCUUCUUAGUUCCCAGGAUCCAUGUGAUGAAUUUAAAGAAAUAAUGUAAGCACCCUGUAAACUGCAAAUGACUAUCCAAAUGUGAAGGAAUAUCAUUACUAUUACUACUAUUACUGGUUAUGGCUAUUUUUAGAAUACUCAGGAAAACACAUAUUCUCAUCAAAACACUUUUCUUAAUAGUUUAGAUCAAUUUCCUUUAUCAUUUUAUUCUGAAGCACUUCAGAAUAAAAGUAAAGGAAGGUAAAUAAAAGUAAAAUUAAAGUAAGGAAAAAAGCUGAAUGUAAAACCCAAGAGAAUAACAACAUUUUAGAUGAAGAGGGAAGAGUCAUCCAAAGAACUAUGGAUGAGAGUGGGCAGAUACAUGAAGACAACCAGAGGAAAAUGUCACAGAAUGCAGGGGAGGAGGAAGAUUCAUAAUGUGAUAAUGGUCAGUGGUGACAGAUGAUACAGGAGUCCAAGAAGCUUGAAAAGAAUAAAAUCUGAAGAACUUCAGGUAAAUAGUAAAGGAGGAAAAGGGUAUAGGGAUCUAUGCUCAGGUUAAAUGACAGAUGAGUUACUAUAGUUAUUUAUUUAUUUAUUGAAAUGGAGUUUUGCUCUUGUUGCCCAGGCUGGAGUGCAGUGGCCCAAUCUCAGCUCACUACAACUUCCAACUCCUGGGUUCAAGCAAUUCUUCUGUCUCAGCCUCCCAAGUAGCCGGGAUUACAGGCAUGCACCACCACGCCCGGCUAAUUUUGUAUUUUUAGUAGAGACAGGGUUUCACCAUGUUGGUCAGGGUGGUCUUGAACUCCUGACUUCAGGUGAUCCACCCACCUUGGCCUCCCAAAGUGCUGGGCUUAUAGGCGUGAGCCACCAAACCUGGCUAUUUACUAUAUUUAAAUAAAUAUGGGUUUUUUUCUUUUUGAAAUACAUUUGUUUUGUUUAUUCAAGUACUUUAACUCAAGCAAUUUAACAAAUGUUUAUUAAAUCAAGAUACCAUGCAAGAGGCCAAAGAAUAAUAUAUUAAGAACACUGGAAGUUAAAAAUUAAAAAAAAAAUCUGGCCUGAAUUCUACCUCCUCCACUUAUGAACUUUCAAAUCUUUUUUUUCUAGCAAACGUUGUCCAUCGCUGUUAAGAUGACCUUGAACACUUUACAUGACUUUCUGAGCCUCUUUUUCCUCAUUAAAAGAGAGAUUGCAUCACCCACUCUGCUUACUCACAAGGAAUUUGUAAGGAUUAAAUUAAAUAAUGACUAUGCAAAUAAAAGUACUGUUAUUCGAGCGAGACUCCGUCUCAAAAAAAAAAAAAAAAAAGUACUGUUAUUCAGCAGAAGAGAGGCAUGUGCAUUAAUAAGCACGAUGAUAGUUUGUUAUAUAUAGUGAGAAAUAUUACUGAUGAGCGGACUGAAACUGUUCAUUGCAUAUUCUCUCUGUAGGAAAUUCUAAAUGGAAAGCUGAUUAUAGUCAGAAAGAUGCCAGAGAUUGGUAUGGGAUCAAAGGUGAAUUUUAAUGGCUAAUGUCAACAUCAUUGUCUGAUGUGUUGAUCUUAAUAUAUUCAUAUUUCAUGUUUAUCUUUUAUUGAUAUCAAGCACUCAUUUAAAAAAUCAUAUUUCUAAAGUAUAUAUAAUAAUAUGGAGAAAUGAUCACAAUAUAAUGCUAAGUAAAAGAAGACAGAACUCUCUGUAUGGUGUGAUUCUAAUUUUGUUUUACAUAUUAUAUAUAAAGAUACAAAGCAUAUAUACUAAAAGAAUAAUGUUUCCUUUGCAGUGGUGGAAUUAUGAGUGGGUUAUCUUUGGCUUUAUAUUUUUCUGUAUCCUCCUAAUUUUAUAUAGUAAACAUUUUUUAAUGUUAAAAAUAUUUAAAAUAAAGAAUCUUAGAACCUUCA